CCUACGGGUGGCAGCAGUGAGGAAUAUUGGGCAAUGGACGCAAGUCUGACCCAGCCAAGUAGCGUGAAGGAAGACUGCCCUCUGGGUUUUAAACUUCUUCUAUAUGGGAAUAAAACGUUCCACGUGUGGGAUUUUUUAUUUACGUUAAGAAUAAGGGUAGGCUAACUCCGUGCCAGCAGCCGCGGCACUACGGAGGGUCCGAGCGUUACCCGGAUUUAUUGGGUGUAAAGGGAGCGUAGGUGGGUUGUUAAGUCAGUUGUGAAAUGUUGCGGCUCAACCGUAAAAUUGCAGUUGAAACUGGCAGGCUUGAGUACAGUAGAGGUGGGCGGAAUUCGUGGUGUAGCGGUGAAAUGCUUAGAUAUCACGAAGAACUCCGAUUGCGAAGGCAGUUCACUGGACUGCAACUGACACUGAGGCUCGAAAGUGUGGGUAUCAAACAGGAUUAGAUACCCCUGUAGUC
RNAcentral lists this ribosomal RNA (460 nucleotides) under uncultured bacterium. RNAcentral describes it as "partial 16S ribosomal RNA". It matches the Rfam family "Bacterial small subunit ribosomal RNA", at positions 338 to 795 of the family's 1533-position model. The record is from RNAcentral.